Hyla sarda is the source of this 309-nucleotide long non-coding RNA. RefSeq lists it as uncharacterized. The record is from RefSeq and is a predicted model, not a curated record. The transcript is spliced from 3 exons. Lineage: Eukaryota; Metazoa; Chordata; Amphibia; Anura; Hylidae.
GCCAAACAUGUCAAUGUUCCUAUGAUAAGGACAGUGAUUCCGGAUUCUAUGCGAUAAAAUGUGCCCCAAUUGUUUGUAGCACUACCUGCAGUCCUGGCUAUGAAUACAAAAUGAAGAGUGGACAGUGCUGUGGAGAAUGUGUGGCAAAACAAUGUUCUAUGAAGAGUGAUAACAAAACUGAUAUUUACAUUCAGGUUGGACAGACUUACAGUAAUAUUAACAGUAAAUGCAGCUACUAUGAAUGUAAUGAAGAAAAUGGUCAGCCCAUCCUAACCAGAGUGAAGAAGGUUUGCCAGGAGUUAGACAUCA